This 253-nucleotide ribosomal RNA is filed under the name uncultured bacterium. RNAcentral describes it as "partial 16S ribosomal RNA". It matches the Rfam family "Bacterial small subunit ribosomal RNA", at positions 524 to 776 of the family's 1533-position model. The record is from RNAcentral.
UACGUAGGGUGCGAGCGUUAAUCGGAAUUACUGGGCGUAAAGCGUGCGCAGGCGGUUCGUUGUGUCGGUGGUGAAAUCCCCGGGCUUAACCUGGGAAUGGCCAUGGAAACUGGCGAACUGGAGUGCGGCAGAGGGGGGUGGAAUUCCGCGUGUAGCAGUGAAAUGCGUAAAGAUGUGGAGGAAUACCGAUGGCGAAGGCAGCCCCCUGGGCCAACACUGACGCUCAUGCACGAAAGCGUGGGGAGCAAACAGG